Molecule: ribosomal RNA, 492 nt
Filed under: uncultured bacterium
Lineage: Bacteria
Description: partial 16S ribosomal RNA
Rfam family: Bacterial small subunit ribosomal RNA
Source: RNAcentral
AGCGAACGCUGGCGGUAGGCCUAACACAUGCAAGUCGAACGGCAGCACAGUAAGAGCUUGCUCUUACGGGUGGCGAGUGGCGGACGGGUGAGGAAUACAUCGGAAUCUACUUUUUCGUGGGGGAUAACGUAGGGAAACUUACGCUAAUACAGCAUACGACCUACGGGUGAAAGCAGGGGAUCUUCGGACCUUGCGCGAAUGAAUGAGCCGAUGUCGGAUUAGCUAGUUGGCGGGGUAAAGGCCCACCAAGGCGACGAUCCGUAGCUGGUCUGAGAGGAUGAUCAGCCACACUGGAACUGAGACACGGUCCAGACUCCUACGGGAGGCAGCAGUGGGGAAUAUUGGACAAUGGGCGCAAGCCUGAUCCAGCCAUACCGCGUGGGUGAAGAAGGCCUUCGGGUUGUAAAGCCCUUUUGUUGGGAAAGAAAAGCAGCAGGUUAAUACCCCGCUGUUCUGACGGUACCCAAAGAAUAAGCACCGGCUAACUUCGUG